Molecule: ribosomal RNA, 547 nt
Filed under: uncultured archaeon
Lineage: Archaea
Description: bacterial SSU rRNA
Rfam family: Archaeal small subunit ribosomal RNA
Source: RNAcentral
CGGGGUGCAGCAGGCGCGAAACCUCUGCAAUAGGCGAAAGCUUGACAGGGUUACUCUGAGUGACGUCCGUUAAGGACGUCUUUUGGCACCUCUAAAAAUGGUGCAGAAUAAGGGGUGGGCAAGUCUGGUGUCAGCCGCCGCGGUAAUACCAGCACCCCGAGUGGUCGGGACGAUUAUUGGGCCUAAAGCAUCCGUAGCCGGUUCUGCAAGUCUUCCGUUAAAUCCACCUGCUCAACAGAUGGGCCGCGGAGGAUACUACAGGGCUAGGAGGCGGGAGAGGCAAGCGGUACUCAGUGGGUAGGGGUAAAAUCCUCUGAUCCACUGAAGACCACCAGUGGCGAAGGCGGCUUGCCAGAACGCGCUCGACGGUGAGGGAUGAAAGCUGGGGGAGCAAACCGGAUUAGAUACCCGGGUAGUCCCAGCUGUAAACGAUGCAGACACGGUGAUGGGUUGGCUUCGAGCCAACCCAGUGCCGCAGGGAAGCCGUUAAGUCUGCCGCCUGGGGAGUACGGUCGCAAGACUGAAACUUAAAGGAAUUGGCGGGGAG